CCUUUCCUGGGGGGCUCCCAUCUCUCUCUCUCUCUCUCCAACCAGCCUUCUUUCUCAGCACUUUAUUUACUCACACACGUUCAUCUCAGCCACUUCACUCAUACCAAGCACAAUCCACUAGCUCAAGCCACACAGCUCUUGCUAUAUAAUAUAUAAAGAGUUCAAUUGUUAUUUAUAACUCAUAUAAUUAGUCCAAAGUCUAUUUGUGGUUUGGUUUUAUUACAGUAUAUUUCUAUCUUAAAAUGAUAAAAAAUAUUAUAUUGUCACCAAAGUGGUCAUUGAGGAUUACAUGGUUAAUGUUUUAUACAAUUUAAUUCUUUAAAAUAAAAAAAUAUAUAUCACACAUAACUUUUGAUUUAUUCCUCACAAAUCAGUAAUUUUACAAUUCAGGAUAAUUGGGAUAUAUGCUAAUUACAUCAUUCCAAUAGCUAUUUAUAAUUCGUAUAACUACGUAAAAUUCAAUUUAGGGUUAUUACUCAUUAAUUUAUAUAUUAAAAUAAGUUCAAAUAUUAUAUUGUUACCAAAACGGCGUUUGUGGAUAAUACAUGUUCAAUGUUUUAUACAAUUUUAAUUAUUAAAAAUAUAUAUUUAAUUUAAAUAUAUGUACCUUUCCAGUUAAGUGUCACAAAUUGAAUUAUGGGUAAUAUGAAAAUAUAUGGGAUAUGGAGAAACCCAUUGAAUUAUUCUGCCGUAAACACCGCAAUUAACCACCAGGGGGAGAUGUUCAGAAACUGCAUGCAAUCUUGUAUUUGACCAAAUGUAAACAAUUAUCAUUUUGUCUACGAACAUCCGAUCCAGACGCAUGAUACGUCUUUGGAAAGCCACAAAACGGCUUUUUUAUAUAAAAAAUAAUAACCCCUGCAUAUUGAGCUACAGGACACAGCACGAGCAGUGAAACCAGGGUCCCCACAGACUUCUAUCAGGCGCGUUCACGGUCAUAACAAAGCCUACGUCAGCAUGCGCGCUUCACAGAAUGUCCGCCCCCAUGCUUGCCUGGAGUUUCACAUCGCAAUAGGAUUCUCCUCAGGUCUGUGAGGAUGAGAAGGUCUCCACAGUCUGGAGUCUGGUCUCUGACAGGCUCAACAUACCUGUCAAUCAACAGGGACUCCUCUACAAAGGCAAGGCGCUGGCAGGUAGGCUGAACAGCACAGCACAGCACAGCACAGCACAGCUCACCCCUCCUCUCACCCCUCGCCUCAUCCCUCCUCUCACUCCUCGCCUCACCCCGGGUCAGUGUGGCACAGCCUGCCUGCUCUUCUGAACAAACACUUCAGCCCUGCCGACGCAGUGAGAGUCUGGAGCAGCAACACAAGGUAACCUGAACACAAACACACACACACACACAGACACACACAAACACACACACAGUGAGAGGCUGGAGCAGCUACACAAGGUAAAUUGAACACAAUAAACACGGCUACACACACAAUCCUAGCUGCAGCAGAUGUACAAUGUUAUACAGACACACACAGACACAGCUGUACAGUGACACAGAGACGCACACACAAUCACAGCUGCAGCAUACACACUCUGAAAUGCAGGUGUAGAGCAGCGUGUAGUUGUGACUCUGUGUCUCUCUCCUCCCCCUCUCCUCUCCUCUCCUUACUUUGUUUAAAAGAAUAGAAGCACACCCAGUGAGCAAGGCAUUGAGCAGCCCCACAUCCCGCUUCACAAUACCGCUACAUAUUGACUGACUGUUCGCAUUGUGUGUGUUUGGUAAGACAAACCACAUUUUCUACUUCUACUUUCUACGAUUGGGCAAGUCAGCGGUUGUUUGAUAACAGAACAUAAAACAUCACAGAGUGGGUUGAACUGCAUUGCUGGAAAUCAAGGCCCUUUAAAAUGUGUACCUUCCCAGCUCAGGUAUUGCUGAGGUAAAGAGACACUUCCUACAGGAGGACAGGACGUUGUCAAGGAGGGGAUGUCGUCACGUGUCCUGAGGGCUUUCUUAAAAACAUUGUUUUAUUAUUUCUAAGCGUACGUUGUUAUUGCCUUUUAGCUCUUGAGCAUAAUAAUCUCAAUCCCGUUUGAAAUGACACUAAGUGCAUUUGCAUGGUGGCAGAUGAGGGAUGUCGCUUCACUCGAGGCUUGCGUACUGAUGAAGAUGUAGUUUCAGUGUUUAAUGCUCAUCCCCUCACUGUGUGUCUGUGUGUGUUCUUGUCUCUCGCCUGUCCUGUGAGGAUGAAGAUGUAGUUUCAGUGUUUAAUGCUCAUCCCCUCACUGUGUGUCUGUGUGUUCUUGUCUCUUGACAGGUCUGUGAGGAUGAGAAGGUCUCCACAGUCUGGAGUCUGGUCUCUGACAGGCUCAACAUACCUGUCAAUCAACAGGGACUCCUCUACAAAGGCAAGGCGCUGGCAGGUAGGCUGAACAGCACAGCACAGCACAGCACAGCACAGCUCACCCCUCCUCUCACCCCUCGCCUCAUCCCUCCUCUCACUCCUCGCCUCACCCCGGGUCAGUGUGGCACAGCCUGCCUGCUCUUCUAAACAAACACUUCAGCCCUGCCGACGCAGUGAGAGUCUGGAGCAGCAACACGAGGUGAUGAAGUGACACUUUGAAUAUGGGGCCUGAUGAGAGAAGUAUCCUUUUCAUGUGGUUUUGGUUUUGCCGUUGUGAGCAGGUGUGGGAGACAGCACCGUGUCUGCAUGUGAAAUAACAAAGUCAUCGCAGUGGAGGGACUCUCUGAAGGCUGCUGUUUGUGGAUUUGUCUUGUAAUGUGAGUGAUCUACUGUACUGUGAUGCCACUGGCUGUACGCAUGCUGCACUGCAGGGGAGAGACCGCUGGCAUUCACAGGGCAUGCUUGUUCAUUUAAAGCACGCUGCACUGCAGGGGAGAGACCGCUGGCAUUCACAGGGCAUGCUUGUUCAUUUAAAGCACGCUGCACUGCAGGGGAGACACCGCUGGCAUUCACAGGGCAUGCUUGUUCAUUUAAAGCACGCUGCACU
This is a long non-coding RNA of Acipenser ruthenus (sterlet), 2946 nucleotides long. RefSeq lists it as uncharacterized. Lineage: Eukaryota; Metazoa; Chordata; Actinopteri; Acipenseriformes; Acipenseridae. The transcript has 3 exons. The record is from RefSeq and is a predicted model, not a curated record.